CCCUUAGAUGUCCUGGGCCGCACGCGCGUUACACUGAUGCAUUCAACGAGCUUAUAACCUUGGCCGAGGGGCCUGGGCAAUCUUGUUAACGUGCAUCGUGAUAGGGAUAGAUUAUUGAAAUUAUUAAUCUUGAACGAGGAAUUCCUAGUAAACGCAGAUCAUCAAUCUGCAUUGAUUACGUCCCUGCCCUUUGUACACACCGCCCGUCGCACCUACCGAUUGGAUGGUCCGGUGAAGCCUCGGGAUUGUGGUUCUUGCCGCUUUAUUGUGGCGUGACCGCGAGAACUUGUCUAAACCUUAUCAUCUAGAGGAAGGUGAAGUCGUAACA
This 328-nucleotide ribosomal RNA is filed under the name uncultured eukaryote. Its description in RNAcentral is "partial 18S ribosomal RNA". It matches the Rfam family "Eukaryotic small subunit ribosomal RNA", at positions 1470 to 1796 of the family's 1831-position model. The record is from RNAcentral.